RNAcentral lists this ribosomal RNA (570 nucleotides) under uncultured bacterium. RNAcentral's name for it is "bacterial SSU rRNA". It matches the Rfam family "Bacterial small subunit ribosomal RNA", at positions 26 to 594 of the family's 1533-position model. The record is from RNAcentral.
CAUUGAACGCUGGCGGCAUGCCUUACACAUGCAAGUCGAACGGUAACAGCACUUCGGUGGCUGACGAGUGGCGAACGGGUGAGUAAUACAUCGGAACGUGCCCGAGAGUGGGGGAUAACGCAGCGAAAGCUGUGCUAAUACCGCAUACGAUCUACGGAUGAAAGCAGGGGACCGCAAGGCCUUGCGCUCAUGGAGCGGCCGAUGGCAGAUUAGGUAGUUGGUGGGAUAAAAGCUUACCAAGCCGACGAUCUGUAGCUGGUCUGAGAGGACGACCAGCCACACUGGGACUGAGACACGGCCCAGACUCCUACGGGAGGCAGCAGUGGGGAAUUUUGGACAAUGGGCGAAAGCCUGAUCCAGCCAUGCCGCGUGCAGGAUGAAGGCCUUCGGGUUGUAAACUGCUUUUGUACGGAACGAAAAGGUCUUUUCUAAUAAAGAAGGCUCAUGACGGUACCGUAAGAAUAAGCACCGGCUAACUACGUGCCAGCAGCCGCGGUAAUACGUAGGGUGCGAGCGUUAAUCGGAAUUACUGGGCGUAAAGCGUGCGCAGGCGGUUUUGUAAGUCAGAUG